GAAAUGCGAUAAGUAAUGUGAAUUGCAGAAUUCAGUGAAUCAUCGAAUCUUUGAACGCACCUUGCGCUCCUUGGUAUUCCUUGGAGCAUGCCUGUUUGAGUAUCAUGAAAUCUUCAAAGUAAAUCUUUUGUUAACUCAAUUGGUUUCUACUUUGGUAUUGGAGGUCUUUGCAGCUUCACACCUGCUCCUCUUUGUUCAUUAGCUGGAUCUCAGUGUUAUGCUUGGUUCCACUCGGCGUGAUAAGUUAUCUAUCGCUGAGGACACUGUAAAAGGUGGCCAAGGUAAAUGCAGGUGAACCGCUUCUAAUAGUCCAUUGACUUGGACAAUACUUUUAUGAUCUGAUCUCGAAUCAGGUAGGACUACCCGCUGAACUUAAGC
Molecule: unclassified non-coding RNA, 378 nt
Filed under: plant metagenome
Description: partial contains 5.8S ribosomal RNA, internal transcribed spacer 2, and large subunit ribosomal RNA
Rfam family: 5.8S ribosomal RNA (bases 1-105)
Source: RNAcentral